RNAcentral lists this ribosomal RNA (753 nucleotides) under uncultured archaeon. RNAcentral describes it as "bacterial SSU rRNA". It matches the Rfam family "Archaeal small subunit ribosomal RNA", at positions 52 to 805 of the family's 1478-position model. The record is from RNAcentral.
UGCUAGUCGCACGAGUUCAGGCUCGUGGCGAAUAGCUCAGUAACACGUGGCCAAACUACCCUAUGGAUCGGCAUAACCUCGGGAAACUGAGGACAAUUCCGAAUACGGCUCGAUGCCUGGAACUGGCUCAAGCCCGAAACGCUACGGCGCCAUAGGAUGUGGCUGCGGCCGAUUAGGUAGACGGUGGGGUAACGGCCCACCGUGCCGAUAAUCGGUACGGGUCAUGAGAGUGAGAGCCCGGAGACGGUAUCUGAGACAAGAUACCGGGCCCUACGGGGCGCAGCAGGCGCGAAACCUUUACACUGCACGACAGUGCGAUAAGGGGACUCCGAGUGCGAGGGCAUACAGUCCUCGCUUUUCACUACCGUAAGGUGGUAGUGGAAUAAGUGCUGGGCAAGACCGGUGCCAGCCGCCGCGGUAAUACCGGCAGCACGAGUGAUGACCGCUAUUAUUGGGCCUAAAGCGUCCGUAGCCGGCCGAACAAGUCCGUCGGGAAAUCCGCACGCCUAACGUGUGGGCGUCCGGCGGAAACUGUUCGGCUUGGGACCGGAAGACUCGAGGGGUACGUCCGGGGUAGGAGUGAAAUCCCGUAAUCCUGGACGGACCACCGGUGGCGAAAGCGCCUCGAGAGGACGGAUCCGACGGUGAGGGACGAAAGCUAGGGUCACGAACCGGAUUAGAUACCCGGGUAGUCCUAGCCGUAAACGAUGUCUGCUAGGUGUGGCACAGGCUACGAGCCUGUGCUGUGCCGUA